UACGUAGGGGGCAAGCGUUAUCCGGAAUUAUUGGGUGUAAAGGGUGAGUAGGCGGCAUGGUAAGCCAGAUGUGAAAGCCUUGGGCUUAACCCGAGGAUUGCAUUUGGAACUAUCAAGCUAGAGUACAGGAGAGGAAAGCGGAAUUCCUAGUGUAGCGGUGAAAUGCGUAGAUAUUAGGAAGAACACCAGUGGCGAAGGCGGCUUUCUGGACUGAAACUGACGCUGAGGCACGAAAGCGUGGGGAGCGAACAGG
RNAcentral lists this ribosomal RNA (253 nucleotides) under uncultured bacterium. RNAcentral's name for it is "partial 16S ribosomal RNA". It matches the Rfam family "Bacterial small subunit ribosomal RNA", at positions 524 to 776 of the family's 1533-position model. The record is from RNAcentral.